UACGAAGGGUGCAAGCGUUAUUCGGAAUCAUUGGGCGUAAAGGGCGCGUAGGCGGUCUGUUAAGUUUGCUGUUAAAUCUUCCGGGCCUAACUGGAAAAUGCAGCAAAAACUGGCGGACUAGAGUGUAGGAGAGAGAAGUGGAAUUCUCGGAGUAGCGGUAAAAUGCGUAGAUCUCGAGAGGAACACCGAUGGCGAAGGCAGCUUCUUGGCCUACUACUGACGCUGAGGCGCGAAAGCGU
RNAcentral lists this ribosomal RNA (239 nucleotides) under uncultured bacterium. Its description in RNAcentral is "partial 16S ribosomal RNA". It matches the Rfam family "Bacterial small subunit ribosomal RNA", at positions 524 to 762 of the family's 1533-position model. The record is from RNAcentral.